CCUACGGGGGGCAGCAGUGAGGAAUAUUGGUCAAUGGACGAGAGUCUGAACCAGCCAAGUAGCGUGAAGGAUGACUGCCCUAUGGGUUGUAAACUUCUUUUAUAUGGGAAUAAAAUGUUCCACGUGUGGGAUUUUGUAUGUACCAUAUGAAUAAGGAUCGGCUAACUCCGUGCCAGCAGCCGCGGUAAUACGGAGGAUCCGAGCGUUAUCCGGAUUUAUUGGGUUUAAAGGGAGCGUAGGUGGAUUGUUAAGUCGGUUGUGAAAGUUUGCGGCUCAACCGUAAAAUUGCAGUUGAAAAUGGCAGUCUUGAGUACAGUAGAGGUGGGCGGAAUUCGUGGUGUAGCGGUGAAAUGCUUAGAUAUCACGAAGAACUCCGAUUGCGAAGGCAGUUCACUGGACUGCAACUGACACUGAGGCUCGAAAGUGUGGGUAUCAAACAGGAUUAGAUACCCUUGUAGUC
This 460-nucleotide ribosomal RNA is filed under the name uncultured bacterium. RNAcentral's name for it is "partial 16S ribosomal RNA". It matches the Rfam family "Bacterial small subunit ribosomal RNA", at positions 338 to 795 of the family's 1533-position model. The record is from RNAcentral.